This 445-nucleotide ribosomal RNA is filed under the name uncultured bacterium. Its description in RNAcentral is "bacterial SSU rRNA". It matches the Rfam family "Bacterial small subunit ribosomal RNA", at positions 331 to 793 of the family's 1533-position model. The record is from RNAcentral.
CCAGACUCCUACGGGAGGCAGCAGUGGGGGAUAUUGGACAAUGGGGGAAACCCUGAUCCAGCGAUGCCGCGUGAGGGAAGAAGGUUUUCGGAUUGUAAACCUCUGUGGACAGGGACGAUAAUGACGGUACCUGUCAAGAAAGCCACGGCUAACUACGUGCCAGCAGCCGCGGUAAUACGUAGGUGGCGAGCGUUGUCCGGAAUUACUGGGUGUAAAGGGAGUGUAGGCGGGAAGGCAAGUCAGAAGUGAAAUCUGGGGGCUUAACCCCCAAACUGCUUUUGAAACUGCGGGUCUUGAGUGAUGGAGAGGCAGGCGGAAUUCCCAGUGUAGCGGUGAAAUGCGUAGAUAUUGGGAGGAACACCAGUGGCGAAGGCGGCCUGCUGGACAUUAACUGACGCUGAGGCGCGAAAGCGUGGGGAGCAAACAGGAUUAGAUACCCGAGUAU